ACCUCGGAGAGCCGCAUGCCGGCGCCGGGCACCUGCCGGACGCCUGGCCUGAGACAAGGGGUCCGCAGCACCAUCGUUUCUUCCUGGCUUACACAUCCCGUCGUUGUCUACGAAACUGCCCGUCGGGGGGACAAAAACACCGAGGACGAGUUUUGUUUAGAGAAAGCACGAAAAGUAGCUGUGAAGGCGGCAGAUGCUCACCGUUUGACAGCAGAGGAGAGGAACCAAGUUAUCCUUGACCUGAAAGCAGCAGGAUGGUCGGAAUUACAGGAGAGAGAUGCCAUCUACAAAGAGUUUUCCUUCAAAAAUUUUAAUCAGGCAUUUGGCUUUAUGUCCCGAGUCGCCCUGCAAGCAGAGAAGAUGAAUCAUCACCCGGAAUGGUUCAAUGUGUACAACAAGGUGCAGAUAACCCUAACGUCACACGACUGUGGUGGACUGACCAAGAGAGAUGUGAAACUGGCCAAGUUUAUGGAAAAAGCAGCUGCUUCUGUGUGAUUUCUUCCAAAAUGCGUGCCAAACCCAGUGCACAUCUUAGCCGUCAUGUAUGUGGAAGGCAGUUUACGUGAACAAAUUCAGUUGUCAAUUUAAGCUCACCUUUUGAACAGUCUUUUGUACAAUCAGGGCUCAAUUACAAAAUGAUUUAAACUUGAGCCUGAGGAUUUUUCGUUAUUUCUAAUCAUAUACAUAAGACAGGAAGCAGCAGCUGUAUACUGUGUUUGGACACAAACCUGACUCCCAUUAAUGUCCUGCAGGACUAGUGUAAGUACGGAGCAGUCUACACGUUCUCUCCUCCAGUGCUCAAAAAUAGACUGGUUGAACUCUGUAACUGCAGUUUUGUGGAAUUUCCUGCAAAACACCAAGAGCUGUAAUAGGAUUUGUGUAUGACACGUGAGCUUUGUGUUUCAGUGCCAGUUCUUGGGACAAGUGAAGGAAUGACUCUUGGCCAGAAGACUUGUGUCACCAAGCUGCCAUGUCUGCUGACUGCUAACAUCCCCAGCUGUAUGCGGCUGGGGUGGCCGCACCCACGUCGGGCACAGUUGGAGUUGCUGCUGAAAGGGUAGAGGAGGUGGCCCUUCGGCUGCUAUCCCAGGGUGCCUUUCGUGCCCACCUGUCCAUGAGGAAAUAUGGAUGAUUUCAGUAGGCCUUGGAGAAGCUUGUCACCUCUGAUUGUGCUCACCAGCUGGAGUUCCAUUCCCAGACUAGCUGUGUUCAUCAGUGACUUCAGAAACCACAGUCAGCUGUGCUUAACUGUGCUGAUGGGUAGUCUAACAACGACUGGACUUCUCUCUACUGCUUCCAGCUGGCCGGCCAUCUUCCCUCACCCCUCCAAGCAUCGUGAAGGAAUUCUUUACAUCCUUAAUCUCCUCUCCAUUUCUCACCCAAAGUGUGCUUUGAUGCUUCAAGAGGGAAGGCAUGGAAGUAUACCAUUGGGGUUCCUGGAGACGGACUCCCACCAUGCUCAGCUGCGUGGGCUUUUUGUUCGUAUAUUCCUACAGCAGACACCUACCAAGGGCCUUCUGUGGCCCCUAGCUUGAGUAGACACGUUGAUGUUUUGGGGCAGGUGGAAACAGAUUCAGGUGGAGAACUAAUUCAGGCUUUCUCCCAGCAGCUGCUCCAGGAGGCUGUUGUGGGGAUGUUGGGCAUGAGCCCAGAAGGCAUCAGGGACCAUAUGACCAAAGGAGGCAGUAGGAGAUAUAGGAGGAGCUGAUCCCUGAGGGAGAGAAUGUAGAGUGGGAAGAUGAGGCUAAAGUUUGAAUCUUGAAGACAUUAAUCAAAGUGAUUCUUAAAGCUUCACUGUUGGUGAUUUUAAAUGCAGAGAUGGAAUAAACAGGAUGUUAUUUCCCAGGUCAGUGUAUUGGUUGCCUACAAGAGUGUUUUCCUACCAGGAAUAGUCAUGUACACUUGUUUUAGAAUGCCUGGGAUUACAGAGCUAUUGCGGUGAAUACUUGGUUUUCUUAUGGCUCAAAAAUUUGUGUUUCCAGGAAUGUGACCAGUUUAGCCACUAAAGGUUUAGUACAACAGAGGGCUACCCAGAUCCCUCUGUCUUGAUUUGCCUUGGAAGCGAAAGGGAUUAGGAGAAGGAACGCAAGGAGAAUAUAUUAAUCCCAAGAAUUGAACAGAGCAAAAACCCUGUGGCUCUUGUACUUAAAAGAUCUCAGCCCCACAGGCUCAUCCACUACGCUCUAUUUAGGAGGGUCAUAUGUGCACAUUACAGGCUCUUCAUAAGCUAGUGCUGGGCAUGGCUGACCUCUGUUCCUCCUUUUUCUUGUGUUCUGGCCCCAAACACACCAAAAUCUUUUCUGGUCCAUCCUGAUGUUUCCAGUCACGUCCCCUGGAUGUAUGUUCUUGGCUCUUAGAACCCCAGAGAAGUUUGCUUUUCCCCCUUAAAUGGCCCUUAACUUAGUCUGACACAUUGUUAAGGGACUUUUGUCUAUCAGAUGUAGACACUUCUCUUUUUUCAAGAUUUUAUUUAUUUAUUUGAGUGAGAGAGAGAAUGAGCAGUGGGGAGGGGCAGAGGGAGAGGGAGAGAAGUAGACUCCUACUAGGCAGGAAUCCCAAUGCGGGGCUCGAUCCCAGGACCUGGAGAUUAUGACCUGAGCCGAAGGCAGACCCCUACGUGACUGAGCCGCCCAGGCGCCCUCAGAUGUGGAUACUUCUUGAGAAAGGAAGGGCUUUUGUCUGCUCUAGCUCUGGUAACUCCCAGAAUUAGCCUGGAGCUUCACAGUUCCUGUGUACUUGUAUCCCUUUCACUGAACUGAGGUGUUGAGUCUCCCUGGGAAGACAGGCUCUCGGCGUAGAUCAGCUAGGGAGUAUUUGACUCUGGGGGACUGCAGGCUAGUAAUGUGCUAGAAUGCCCAAGAAUGACGUCAUAAAGCAUGAGUUCCUUUUGUGGGCCCUGGUCUGUGGCCUCUUGGAAUCUAGAUGCCAAGGAAAUCCCUAAGCAGAGAUUUUCUGUUGAAUGAUCAAAGCAAGGAAUAAAAAUAGAAAAUUUGGAAAAUGUCUCAACAGUUUCAUUUUCAGAAUGAUACCAGAGUCAUUUCUAGCUCGCUGUUGGAUAAUCCUUCAGUGGCGUUCUGUGCGAGAUUCGGGAAAUUUCAGUAAAUAUUCUUUAUUUCUACUGCUUGUUAAGAAAUGUGCAAAUGGCAGCUUGGGGGCAGGGUGCCGGUGUGCUCUUCUUGAUGCACGCACUUGUGCACGCACUUGUGCUCUGCCCAAAACGAGGUGCGUGCCCUUGACCAUCUGCCUUCUCUCCCUGGUGAGGUUGGUGAAGGCUCAGCCAAACAUUUUGCUUUUUUGGCUUUAAUAUCAUUUUUUGGCUAGUUAAAUCAGCAUUCAGUCACCUCAUACUUGACCCAUACACUGAAUUUGACUCUGUUUAGUCCUUUUAUCUUUUUGUCCUUUCUACUUUGCUUUUAUUAGCUACCGUGUUAGAAAAUUUGAAGGUUUUUUGGAGGUAAUAGACCUGAUCUCAAAACAGACAAUGAAAAUUAUACAUCUUGUUUUUAUAGAUUAUAAAAGUAUAUGCAUUCUGUAUUUAUUUCCUGUUAGGAGAGUGUGUUCAUUUGUUACAUAUAAUGGGGAAAAUAAUACAUACUUUUUGAGAAAAAUUGGAAAGCAUAGAUAAAUAUAAUAACCAAGAAAAAGAAUUACUGUAAUAAUACUGAGUAGAGAAUUUUGUACCUUGUUUUGUUUUUGUCUUUAGCUAUCCAGUGGAUCAUAAACAUUUGUUUAAACCAUGAAAAAGAUGCAUCGGCAUAUUUUAGUAUCUAUAUAAUAUUCCAUGAGAUGGAUAUGCCGUCAUGGACUUCACCAGUCUUUCUUGUUAGACUUUUGAACUGCUUGCAAGUUCUUACUACUGUACGUAACACUGGGAUGAACAUAUUUGGCCAUGGCCAGUUCAUUCCAGAUUGCAUGCUCUUGGGGUAGGUUCCUUGGAUCAGAGGUUACAAAUAGUUCUAUGGCUUUUCGGAGGAGUUGGCCAAUUUACACGCCCCCUGGCAGUUUAUGAGAAUGCCUCAUCACACCACACUACUGUCAGCAUUACAUAGUAUUACAUUUAAGUCUGCUAAUUUUAUAAGCAAAAAUAAUGGUUGUACCUAAUUUGCAUCUCCAUCCCCAUUAAUAAUGCUACUGAACAUUUUGGGGGAGGUUCAUUUCCAUUUGUAUUUAUUUCAUGUACUGAUUGUGUGUUUACUCAUUUUUUCUUAGGGUAUUCAGUUUUUUUUUUUUUUAAUCAUUGUGAACACUUGUAUGGGUGAUGAUUUGAUUAUUACCGUUUUUUCCUACUAGACUGACAAUAUUUAGUUUUGUUCUCCUUAUAUCCACGAUGUCUGCUGUCUGCUGUCUUGCCUGCUGUUAGUAAUCACUCAGUAAAAAUUUACUGAAGGAGUAAA
This is an RNA transcript of Ailuropoda melanoleuca (giant panda), 4394 nucleotides long. It is a transcript of the gene named pterin-4 alpha-carbinolamine dehydratase 2, with no coding region annotated. Lineage: Eukaryota; Metazoa; Chordata; Mammalia; Carnivora; Ursidae. The transcript has 5 exons. The record is from RefSeq and is a predicted model, not a curated record.